Molecule: ribosomal RNA, 375 nt
Filed under: uncultured organism
Description: bacterial SSU rRNA
Rfam family: Bacterial small subunit ribosomal RNA
Source: RNAcentral
UGCUUAACACAUGCAAGUCGAACGGUAACAGUCCUAGCUUGCUAGGAGCUGACGAGUGGCGGACGGGUGAGUAACGCGUAGGAAUCUGCCUUGCAGUGGGGGAUAACACUAGGAAACUGGUGCUAAUACCGCAUACGCCUUUAGGGGGAAAGAUAUAUUGCUGCAAGAUGAGCCUGCGUCAGAUUAGCUAGUUGGUGGGGUAAAGGCCUACCAAGGCGAAGAUCUGUAGCUGUUCUGAGAGGAAGAUCAGCCACACUGGGACUGAGACACGGCCCAGACUCCUACGGGAGGCAGCAGUGGGGGAUAUUGGACAAUGGGGGCAACCCUGAUCCAGCAAUGCCACGUGUGUGAAGAAGGCCUGCGGGUUUAAAGCAC